AUAGCAGUACAAUUUCCACAAUGCCCGUUUUGUUUUGUUCUUGGAAAAAGUUAUCAAAAACAAGUUUUUGUUUAAAUUAAGGUGAAUUCAUGGUUCCUUUUUCCACAUAAUGUAACCGGUAGUGCUUAUGAUUAAAAUAAUUAUGUGAUCGGUAUCGGUGAUCGGCCCUCAUGGGUGAUCGGAAUUGGCAAGAAAAAACCUGAUCGACAUUUCUAUACUUACUUGCUAG
Molecule: long non-coding RNA, 229 nt
Organism: Poecilia latipinna (sailfin molly)
Lineage: Eukaryota; Metazoa; Chordata; Actinopteri; Cyprinodontiformes; Poeciliidae
Exons: 3
Source: RefSeq, a predicted model, not a curated record